AUAAAAUAUGAGACAUGUUCAUGUAUCAUUGACUUAGUAUGUCAGAUGUAAAGAAUGUUAAAUACCCAAUCAUCUGUCAGACAAUACCUAAUGACGUGUGGACUUAUAGUAUGACCACCCACGUAUUUUCGAAGAUUUUUAACUAAAACAAAUUUUACAUCGUACUUAAAAUACGAGGUCACGCGACAUGAUGGCAAACACGAGUGAAGCACCGCAACGUGGCGAGAUAAUGAUGAAAGUUGGAAUUAUGAACGUAUCAGGGACCCACCUUGUGAAGUCUUGAAUGUACUUGAAGGUAAGGUUGAUUAUAAUUACCAUGACGAGACCUUUACCACUUCGUGCAAGUCCUUCUUGCAAAUUUGCUGGUUGUUUGUUCAACUGUUCUUGCCUUCUACGUUGAUAAUCUUUAUCAAAUGUGAGAGCAGCGAUACCCUUACCUGUGAAAUAUUUCAAUUUCAUAUACUCAUUCGUGGAAUAGCC
This 480-nucleotide unclassified non-coding RNA is filed under the name Athalia rosae (coleseed sawfly). Its description in RNAcentral is "misc RNA ENSAEAG00005009929.1". The record is from RNAcentral. Lineage: Eukaryota; Metazoa; Arthropoda; Insecta; Hymenoptera; Athaliidae.